UCUCUCUUUACGGGAUGGAGAAUUUCAGAUGGUCUCCUACAAAAUAAUAUGCAAAAUGUUGCCUUUAGUUAUGGAUUUUGGCCGUUGAACAUGGAUAUCAGGUCUUUUUCUUGAAGCCCAUGUACUAGAUCAGGACUUUCCCUUCUGCAUCUAUUUCGCAUUAAGUUAUUGGGGGGACGUUCGGGGCUGUACCUGUGGUCUUAGUACCGGGAUGGAUGAAUUGAUAAAUGUAUGUCUGUUCGCUAGAUUUGGGGAAUUGAUGUCUCUCUUGAUCUGAUAUCUCUUCAUUAACAAGUUGAUUAGACUAAAUUAUGCUCGGCACUGGACAAGGAUGAGCUUACUUAGUCUCACUGCGAGAAUGUGUUCCGAAAUAUGGGGAAUUUUUUCGGUGUAUUACUUAGAAAUUUGAGUUCAUUGUUUAUACUAGAAAGUUUAUAAGCUAGCUGUGGAUUUCAAGGGGGCUGAUAAAUUAGGGGCUGAUGGUUUUUGAAAGGAAGGUCAAUGGGUAACUAGUCAGAGUAAUGUAAAGUACCAACUGAAAAUAUGCUUGGAGAUUGAAGGUCGAACAUGUGAGAAAGUGUCUCCUGCGUUUCAAUGCCUUUUAACAGUUAUGAAUCCAGUUAAUAUCCUACAAAAUUGGGUUUUGAGCUCUGUACUGCAUAAUUAUGCUAAGAAAUAUUUCUAAUAUGUAAUUUUAUAGAAGUCAGCUAUCAUUUGCAAGCACUAAUUUUGCUUUUUAAUAGCUUAAAGAGACUUUAUUUGGUAAGGUCACUUGUUAGAUGAAUUCACCUGAUAUAGGUGCUUAUGGAUCUUAUCUAUUUGCCACAUCAUAUGCCACAAGAUUGACGAUGAUUCUUGGUUACUAUUUUUUUUCUUGGGUUUAAGUCCUUAUGAGGGUUGAAUAUGGUGAUCAUCUGCUUGAAAGCAAGUUGGUAUCAAAUAACAGUAACUCUUUUCCUUACUUGAGUGACAGAACUCAUGGUCUAUUUCAGAUCAG
This 997-nucleotide unclassified non-coding RNA is filed under the name Hevea brasiliensis (rubber tree). Lineage: Eukaryota; Viridiplantae; Streptophyta; Magnoliopsida; Malpighiales; Euphorbiaceae. The record is from RNAcentral.